RNAcentral lists this unclassified non-coding RNA (192 nucleotides) under uncultured fungus. RNAcentral describes it as "sequence contains ITS1". Lineage: Eukaryota; Fungi. The record is from RNAcentral.
UUAACUAUUAUAUAGUACUCAGACGACACUUAAUUCAGAAUUUAGGGUUCUCUGGCGGGCGCACAUCAGCCGAAGCCGAUAGCCCGAAGGCGGCCCGCCAAAGCAACAAAGGUAUGUAUAACAAAGGGUGGGAGGUCUACCCCGAAGGGCAUGAACUCUGUAAUGAUCCUUCCGCAGGUUCACCUACGGAAA